UCCGGCUUAUCACCGGCGGUUCCCCUAGAGUGCCCGGCCGGACCGCUGGCAACUAGGGGCGAGGGUUGCGCUCGUUGCGGGACUUAACCCAACAUCUCACGACACGAGCUGACGACAGCCAUGCACCACCUGUAUACCGACCACAAGGGGGGCCGUAUCUCUACGGCUUUCCGGUAUAUGUCAAACCCAGGUAAGGUUCUUCGCGUUGCAUCAAAUUAAUCCACAUGCUCCGCCGCUUGUGCGGGCCCCGUCAAUUCCUUUGAGUUUUAGCCUUGCGGCCGUACUCCCCAGGCGGGGCGCUUAAUGCGUUAACUGCGACACUGACCCCGAAGGGCCAACAUCUAGCAUACAUCGUUUACGGCGUGGACUAC
Molecule: unclassified non-coding RNA, 371 nt
Filed under: uncultured Nocardiaceae bacterium
Lineage: Bacteria; Bacillati; Actinomycetota; Actinomycetes; Mycobacteriales; Nocardiaceae
Description: contains 16S-23S intergenic spacer region
Source: RNAcentral